AACGAACGCUGGCGGCAUGCCUAACACAUGCAAGUCGAACGAGACCUUCGGGUCUAGUGGCGCACGGGUGCGUAACGCGUGGGAAUCUGCCCUUGGGUUCGGAAUAACAGUUGGAAACGACUGCUAAUACCGGAUGAUGACGUAAGUCCAAAGAUUUAUCGCCCAAGGAUGAGCCCGCGUAGGAUUAGCUAGUUGGUGAGGUAAAGGCUCACCAAGGCGACGAUCCUUAGCUGGUCUGAGAGGAUGAUCAGCCACACUGGGACUGAGACACGGCCCAGACUCCUACGGGAGGCAGCAGUGGGGAAUAUUGGACAAUGGGCGAAAGCCUGAUCCAGCAAUGCCGCGUGAGUGAUGAAGGCCUUAGGGUUGUAAAGCUCUUUUACCCGGGAUGAUAAUGACAGUACCGGAAGAAUAAGCGCCGGCUAACUCCGUG
Molecule: ribosomal RNA, 433 nt
Filed under: uncultured bacterium
Lineage: Bacteria
Description: partial 16S ribosomal RNA
Rfam family: Bacterial small subunit ribosomal RNA
Source: RNAcentral